This 4290-nucleotide long non-coding RNA is filed under the name Sus scrofa (pig). RNAcentral's name for it is "lncRNA (ENSSSCG00025046574.1)". Lineage: Eukaryota; Metazoa; Chordata; Mammalia; Artiodactyla; Suidae. The record is from RNAcentral.
AUUUAGUUUUCUGAGGAAUCUCCAUACUAUUUUCCAUAGUAGUUGUACCAGUUUACAUUCCAAUGACCAUACCACCUUGAACCUGUCUAUUUCCUCUUCUAUUUGUUUUAUCUCAUCUUUUUUCUUCUCAACUCUAAAUUCUGUUUGUUUUUCUCUAACACUUACAAAUAAUCUCUCAUUUCUUUAGCUCAGCCCAUUUAAAUACAUUUGAUCUUCAUGUGGGCAUUAUCAUUAGCAACUUCCUCCAUACCAGGCCCCAUGGACUAAGAAGCUGGUCUUAAACGAAGUCACCUCUCCCAAGUAUCAGUAAUUUUUUUUUCAUGGCCACGUGGUUGGCAUAUGGAGGUUCCCAGGCUAGGGGUCUAAUCAGAGCUACAGCUGCCAGCCUAUACCACAGCCAUAGCAACAUAGGAUCUGAGACGAAUCUACGACCUACACCACAGAUCAUGGCAAUGCUGUGUCCUUAACCCACUAAGUGAGGCCAGAGAUUGAACCUGCAACCUCAUGGUUCCAGUCAGAUUCAUUUCCACUGCGUGAUGAUGGGAACACCCCCAAGUAUCAUUAAUUAUAAUAGAAAUCUAUUCCUCAAAGUGCUCCACAUAAAAUUUUCAAAGUCUCUAUUCCUCCAACCUUCAGAUUCAUAGUUUUUGUUUUUUUGUUUUUAAUAUCCUCAAAAACUGUGGUUAAAAGAGAAGAAGGAGGGGAAAUUUGUGGCUUUUCAUGUACUUUGUUGUGAAUAUCAGAGAAAUCUGGACAUUGAAAGAAAGCUGUAAGAGGGAUAAAUAAUAAAACACAGUGGAAAGAGAUCUGUGUGAGAUAUAAAGGUGACAGUAAAAGCCAAUACAAAAUUAAAUUUUCCUUGGAUAUAAUAAUUAACAGAACCAGCAUUGCAUAAUGCCAAAUUAAUAUUUUAUAGCAAAAACUGAAAAUUACAUCCCAGAAUAAAACAAAUAUAGAGAACCAAAAGGAUAACACAGAAUUUUGGAAACUGCCUUAAGAUCAAUAAGAAAUUAAACUUCACUAUGAGAAAGAAUAUCUGACAAUAGAAAGCAAAAGGCUCAUUACAUUCUAAGGAAAUACAAUGAAUAGGAUGAAUAGGCCACUUUCUGAUCACAUUAAAAAGCAAUUUGAAAAAUCAAGAAAAAUUCCAUAACCCUCUAGGGCAGAUAAAUGUAGGUUACUUCCAGAGUAAUGAAAUCAAUGUCUCAGACUUUCUGUUCAAGAGAACAGAAAACGACAAAGCAAAGCCUAGUGAAUUUUUAUCGAAAAUGGUCAUGACCCAAGAAUCCUUUAUCUUAACAAGUAGUCUUUUAUAAAAGAAGAACAGAAAAUCAAUCUCCUAUAUGAAGGGACUAAAAGAUGGGCCUGUGGCCCAUUAUUGGAAAAAAAAUUAAGCAAUACUCUCAAAAAUCAAUACAGGUAGCAAAAUUAUUAAACCAAGAUGGGGAAAUUGUACAAAAUAAUUUUGGUACACUUUUCUAUCAUAAAAAUAUAUUUUUAAAGUGAAGAUAUUUAUACAUAUAUUUUCUUCCAAAAAUGAUGCUUUUGCAAUAGUGUGAAAAUGGGAAGAAUCUAUCAUAUUAGGGAAAUUCAUAUGAUUAGAAUUGAACAGUCAUUAAAUAUAAUGUUUUGAAAGAGAUUCUAAUGACAUGGGAAAUGCAUAUGAUGAUAUGACAAGAAAAUAUAAAUGCAAAGGAUAAAAACAUGUACAAGCAGUUUGACUUCAACUACUGAAAGAAAGAGAAGGACAUAAAAAAAACAUAUCUUUGUGAUACAAGUGAGAAACAGAACAAGGCUAGGGUAGAUGGAGAAUAGAAAGGAAGGAAGAAUUCAUGUUAGAACUCUUGCAUAUUGUUUCUGUGGAUGCAAACUUCUGCAGCCACAAUGAUAAACAGUAAGGAGAUUCUUCAACAAAUAUAAAUAGAACUAUCAUAUAAUCUAAAAAUCCCAUUUCUGGGUAUAUACUCCACAUAAUUGAAAUCCAGAUUUCAAUGAUGUCUUCUUUUGCGUGAACAAGCUAUUCCUUUAAUCAAGAAGUUGAGUCUUACUCCUCCCCUUUUAGUCUAAGUUGAUCUUAGUGACUUGUUUAACCAAUAGAAUGUUACAGAAAUUACUUUUUGGGAUUUCCAAGGCUAUAUGCAAAGAACCCUGAGGUUUAUGCCGGGGAUCCUCAAAAUACUUAUAUUGGGAUAAGCCAUCUGUCAUGUAGGAAUUUUGGCUGUCCUUAGAAUCUACCCUACCAUGCUGUGUGGAAACAUAAGCUAAACAUGUGGGGAGUCUUUGUAGAGAAAGAGUGAUUCCUGGCCAUCACCAGCUAGUCAAGACAUCCAGCUGAAGACCAAACAUAUGAACGGAGAAGCCAUAUUGGACUUCAAGAAUAAUAAAUCCUUUCUAUGACUCAGCUGCAAUAUAACUACAAUUGUAUGAGAGACACAAAGCAGUAAUUGAUCAGCUAAGUUUGCCAAUCUAGAGAACAAUUAGAAGUAAAAAAAAAAAAAGAAAAUUGGGCAGUAGCUAACAGAAAAACAAAAGAGAAAGGUUAAGAUAAGCAAACAGAAAAGUAUGAUUUUUUCCAAAACAGAUAAUUUGAAGAAUAGAACUUAAAAAUGAUUAUGAUUAAUAUCCUCAAGACUAUUAGAAAAUGUAUUAUAGUCAAAAAAGCAGACAGAAAAGAAUAAAGGGACAACUAGAAAACUGGUAAAGAAAACUUUUGCGGGAGUUCCUGUUGUGACUCAGCAGAAAUGAAUCUGACUAGUAUCCAUGAAGUUGUGGGUUCAAUCCCUGGCCUCACUCCGUGGGUUGGGGAUCCAGAUGGCCGUGAGCUGUGGUGUAGGUCACAGACAUGACUCGGACCCCACAUUGCUGUGUAGUGUAGGCCAGCAGGUAGAGCUCUGAUUCAACCCCUAGCCUAGGAGCUUCCAUAUGCCCAAGAGUGAGCCCUUAAAAAGGAAAAAAAGGUAGGAAGGAAGGAAGGAAGGAAGGAAGGAAGGAAGGAAGGAAGAAAGAAAGAAAGAAAGAAAGAAAGAAAGAAAGAAAGAAAGAAAGAAAGAAAGAAAGAGAAAGAAAGGGAAACUUUUGGAAGUCAAAACAAAAAUUCCAAUAAAGAUUUGAAAAUUAGAAAGAGUAAAUUCUUCUCUCCCAAUUAAUAAAAAUAAAUAGAAACAAAAAAUGAGAAAGAAGAAAUCAUAAACACCCCUCUUAAGAGCCAUUGUAGGACUGAAAGGACUUCUAGGAUGAGAAAUUACUGAAAACAGAGAAGAGGAAAUUAUUCAAGGAAUAACAGAAGGGAAUCCACAAAAACUGAACAGUAUGGAAUUUCACUUAGAAGAAGCCAACGAUUACUAAGCAUGAUGAAGGAAAAUAACAAAUGAUUCUCAUGUGGGUUAUCACUAUAAAAUUUAAAAACACCAAGGAUAAACCGAUACUUAGGGUUACCAAAAAAAGAAACUGAAUUGAAAUAAGCUUUUAAUGAGCAAAACUGAUGCUUAAAACACACACAAAGAGAAAUGUCUCCAAAAUUCUCUUGAAUUCUUUCAUGAAGACUGCUGAAUUUUACUGAAUCUAAUAUAGCAGUAACUUUAAGAAGCUUUAUUACUUCUUUAUAUUACUAAAAAGGGCCGAUAGAAACACUGAUAAAGUUGUUAAGUGCAGUUGUUUUAUAACAAGCAUAUUGAUUUCAGAGAUUAAAAUAUGAAAAUAUGUAAUUUAGAAUGAAUACAAUUUGAUAGUCAGGAAUUACCUCUGAAAACCCCUUAAAUUGUUUUUUAUAAAGAUUUAUACAUAGUUCUGUACAUUUGCCAUGCAAGGUAAUUCAUACACACUCUAAUGUUUGAGAACCAACAGAGCUAGAAUAAAUAGAAAAAAGUAAGACCAAAAGUUUAUAAGUACAUGUCUGCACUUUAAAAUAUUUCAAUUUUUAAAUCUGGUUAUGGAAAAUAGAUGAGGAAUUCUAAAGUUAUUCUGCUUUCCUGCAGGGUAUAUCCUAUUCUUCUUCUUUUUUAUCUAUUCUUCUUUUAAUUUUAAAUAUAUGCAAUAUUAUUGAUAUUAAUACAUUUUGUGAUACUUCAAGGUCUCUCCAAGGAGAUAGAACACAUAGCCUCUGGCCAAGACAAGAAUUACCAGACCUUUGUCACUCCACCUGUCUCAUUGUAAUGCUCCCUCUCCCCUUUGAGCCACCUGGCCUACUCUGUCCCACUACCGCCUCUAGGAAAGGUACAUGCCCCACUCCUCAUCCCACCCCUGUAGAAGGCUUAUAAGCCCCAAACUAACCAGUAAUGUACCAUAAGACCC